GCACGAGAGCACAGGAGGAGACUUCAGAGGUUUGACGAGUCGGUGCAGGAUGGAGUGAACUUCAUUAAGACUUUGAACACAACACGUUUAGAUUUAUUUCUCUUAGUAUAGUAGCCUACUGGAAGCUUUCUUGUUUCACCUGCGUAUUUUUUUUCGUUAAUUGAUUUUUGUGGGUUUUUUUUAUGUGGGUGUCUGUGUGACAGCGAAAAAACAGGUUAGAGACUCUGAUAUGGCUGAGGUAGCGCCAACACAGUCGCAGCCGGUCGAGAUAGACCCGGACUUUGAGCCUCUGUCCCGCCCUCGCUCUUGCACCUGGCCGCUGCCCCGUCCGGAGGUCACUGACCCGGCCAGCUCCAACACGUCGUCCCCAGCCCCGUCGGUGCAGCAGGAGCCGGGAGGAAACCCCGAGUUCAUCAGUAACCUCGGGUUGUUAGAGGAGGACUAUGAGGGCUAUGCGGAGGAGAAACCGCCUGUGCCCUGCAGUGACUUUCUGUGUCGGGAGGGAAACUGUUUGCAUCUUCAUCACCACCUGCAACAGCAGCAGCAGCAGCAGCACCUGCCGGGUCCACAGCUGCCGCCUCAGCAACAGGUGCCUCAUCCAGGUGUCGCACCUUUGGGUGGCCCCGGCCAGAGGAAGAGCAGCUCGUCCCGUCGUAACGCCUGGGGCAACAUGUCGUACGCUGACCUCAUCACCAAGGCGAUAGACAGCUCACCUGAGAAGAGGCUGACGCUGUCUCAGAUUUACGACUGGAUGGUGAAGAGUGUGCCUUACUUCAAGGAUAAAGGGGACAGCAACAGCUCCGCGGGCUGGAAGAACUCCAUAAGACACAACCUGUCGCUGCACAGUCGCUUUGUGCGCAUACAGAACGAGGGAACAGGAAAAAGCUCCUGGUGGAUGCUGAACCCGGAGGGGGGAAAGAGUGGAAAGUCACCUCGACGCAGAGCUGCCUCCAUGGACAACAACAGUAAACUGGCCAAGAGCAGAGGGAGGGCCUCAAAGAAAAAGAUGGCUCUACAGGAAGGGGUUGAGGGAGCUGGCAGUCCUGGCUCCCAGUACUCUAACUGGAUGGGAAGCCCAAACUCCCACAGCAACGAGGACUUUGAAGCCUGGAGCUCCUUUAGGACACGCACCAGCUCUGACGCCAGCACCCUGAGUGGUCGCCAUUCACCUUUCCCUUCUGAACAGGAUGACCUAGUGGAGUCCGAUGGCCACAUGAUGUAUCCUAAAGCUGCAGGGACCAAGAUAACCUCCCCCCUGCCGAGCUUGUCCGAGAUGGAUGGACCUGUGGGCCGACAUCGCCAAGAGGGGGUCAUGGAUAGUCUGCUGGAUAACCUUAACCUGGUGUUUCCUAAAUCCUCCCAGCUGGGUCCUGACUCCUCUCAUUCCCCAAAUGCUGCCAUGCUUCAGAGUAGCCCCUACAGCUCCACCUGUUUGAUCGCACACCCACAGCAGGACUACCACAAGCGUGUGUACAGCCAGGUGAGGAUGAACUCCCUGUCCCCUGCUCCAAUGCAGAUACUUCCAGAGACUAAGCCAGGCUUUGGGGCUUAUGAGAACCCGUAUAUCAGCCCUGCUGGCCUACUGAAAGAGCUGUUGACCUUAGAUGCAGAAUCCAGUAGGGACAUGAUGCCCUCUAGUGAUACACAGCUGGCUCAGGUUGGGAGGGCAGGCGGGCUAAUGCCCACUUACAGCAGCCAGAGCCACAUGGGGGGUCGUAAUGGGGUUAAAAUGUUGAAUUCUUUACAGAGUCACCCAGUUCCUCAUGUGAGUCCACAAGUUAUACAUAGCCGGGGUCCUUCAACCUCACGAGACUUGAAUAGCUGUAACAUGAUCCCCCUGACUAGUCGCAAUGGACUGUCAGGGGCUCCUCCUCGAAUGAACAGCCUUAGGACAUGUAUGCAACUACCCCGUGGACACCCAGCUUACCCUUCUGAUGUUUCAGCGAGCAACAAUAGCUUCAGGGGUUUAAAUCCAGUUCACCAACACAUUCAUCAUGAGCGGCUACCCAGCGACCUGGACAACAUGUCCAUCGAGAGGUUUGAGUGCGACAUGGAGACCGUCCUACAUGACACCCUCAUGGAUGGCGGGGCACUUGACUUUAACUUUGACCCCGCGGCUGGGCCUUAUGGGUUUCCUCAGAGGGUGAAGACAACCACACAUAACUGGGUGUCAGGUUAGAGCACAUGGUGAAUGACAAACAGUUGAAUGUGACAAUUGGGCUGACGAUAUUAUAAAACUAUAGCCCCUUUCACACAUGCACUCCAAACAAUUUCAAGACAUUUUAAGGACAGCCUGCCCCUCACAUUUUCCAGUGUUUCCCUUUUAACACAUGUCCCUCACAAUGGGAGAUUUUCGCUGUCAGAAGAGUGGGGGGAGUGGCUUAGGAGAAAGGACAUGAGGUAGAAUGGAUGCUGCACGAGUCCCAAAGAAAUGAUAACAAUAUAUUUAAGAUGGCGGACGUAGCAACAGGGUCUCACAUUAUAUGACAUUUUUUGCCUUAAUAUAAAUGCUGUAUGUUUUCAGAAAAAUUACAAUUACUGAAAACAGUGGAAACAAACAUGCUGGUGAGAAGAAAAGAGUAUGAAGUGCAUCAAGAUCGUAUUGGUUUGAGGAUGUGGGUAAUGGAAAACAUGCUGGCAAGCAGAAUAGAGAACAAAGAAGCUUCAUCACACACAAGAAGACUAUUUUUCAUUGGUCGCAUGAUUUAAACAUUUACUCCAUCAUCCCCAAUAAUCUCACCCGCCCACUUCCUAGCAGUGAAUUUUCCUGACUAUGACCUACAGUUUACUCAUCGGCUCACCAUAAUCUUUUGCAGACUUUUACUUGUCGUCUGUCAGGAAAAGUUCUGGAUAAAGUGUAGCUAAUAAAUUCUGCCAAUGCAUUCACACAUGCAGCUCAACUUGACAAUUUCGGGAUUCUUCAAAAGUGCAGUGCAUGUGUUGAAGGGCCUUAAAAAUUCAAAAAAACUUUAUCAGGAUACAAAAUACAUUUUAAUUCAGUUAUAGUGACUGAAAUCAGACAACGGUCCAAACUGUUUUCUCUUGUGCACACAAAAUGCUUGAAUCAUAUCUACAUAGCCCUGCAGAGAGAAUCAAUGAGAGAUAACGCUGCAAUAGAUAACUGUUAUUGUUUAAACUACCUGUAAAAAAACAGUCAUUAAAAUUUUACAGUGUAGUAUUUAAAAAUAUGACAGAACACCACAUCAGUGUGCCUUCAAACUUCUCUGUUGAUGAUGUGAAGAGAACUUGAAAAUAUUCUUCAUUUUAUAACAGAGUGAAAGGAGCAAUGGUUUGGAGUAAUUAAAGGUGUAUUUGGUAAUAUUAGUUACAAUAAUCUAGGUUUGAACAAACCCAUGUGGUAACCAUGCUAGCUCAGUAGGUUCAACUAGGUAAAGCGGGGUAUCAUCUGCAUAGUGAAGCAUCUUAACAUUUAUACUGUAGUAAAUACAAAUUCCACGGGGAUUUGGACAAUGCCAACAAGAUAUGUGUCCAGGAAUAUACCUCUGGAAGGCACACAUAGUAGGUUAUGAAAAGAUCAUCAUUAAAUCCUUAAAGAAGCUUAAUUAAGCACUUAAAUCAAAUUGUAGCAGUAUCUCUAUAAGGUCUGGUUUAAGAGACUCUGAGAAGAACUUCAUCUCUAACUGGAAUGAGUUCAUCAUUUAUAAACUGAAUGAAGGUAUUUAUUUCUAGGAGUGGCUGUUAGAUUUGUGCUUUUAGUUUGCUUAUGAAUAUUUUUAUACUGUAUUGUAAAUAAGUUCAAACACAGUUGAGAUGUGCCGUCUAAAAGUUCACAAUCUCAAUAUUUAUGUUAGCUAAUCGUGGAAGUCGUCCGCUUUGUGAGUGUCCGUGUCGCAUAUCGUUGCAUAUCAACAGUGAUGCUCUUCAGUAUCUGAUUUUUGUCUUCUUUGGACUUAAUGAACCUCUGUACAAUUCUAAAUCUUGAGGUUGUGAAAACCACAAUGGAUAAUCCAAACGAAAACAUUGUAAUCAAAUUCAAAUUAAAGGGAGUUUUUGGAGAUUCUGGCUGGACUCAAGCUGUGCGAAACAAUGGGAGUAGCAGUAAAUGGAGAGGCUGACGAUGAUGUCGUAAACUGACUAGAAAUAGAUGAUGAAAGUUUAGCGAGCACAGCACAUGAUUUAAAAGUAUUUACCUGCUGGCUUAUACAGUUUUUAUGCACCAAAUAAAGUGUGCCAAUUCACCGUGCCUACAUCCUCUUACAGACUUAUGUUGUACAUAUUUAUUUCUUUAGUACAUUUUAUAUAUGAAGGGUUUAUGUGACCUGUUAGGAUAAUACUGCCUGAUUGUGUUAGAAAUGGUUGUUUACAAAUCUCAGUCCAAACUAUAUCGAGAAAUAUAUAAACACUCAUACCUCAAAAAACUUUACCUCUCAAGUUUUGAAGGGAUAUUUUCUGACAAUUUCCUCAAUGAGUAAUUAUUACAUUCUUCCUCAUUUAUGACAUAUAACGUUUUGUACAUAUGUUUGUUUUCUUUUUUUGUAGUCGAGAUGUACUUUUUGGACCUGUUCAGUGUCUCCCUUUGAAUUUCUAAUGUUUAUUUUUAAUGUUGAAGGAUUAUAGCCAUUGGUUCCUACAGUCAAUUGUUUUGUGAAAGUCACAGGAAAAAUGUUAAAUUAAAUGAAUUGGUGUGAUAUAUUAUCAAUAUUGAAGUACUUUUUUUUAUUAUCAUAAUUUGUUCAGAUUAAAUUUAAUUGAACUCAGUUAGUUAAUUAAAUGUCCAAAUUAGUCUUUUAAGAUUGUUGACGUGUAUUGAAAUUUGAAAUGUCUUAUCAGCAUUUUAUAAUGACUCAGAAAGCUACCUGUACAAAAAAGGGCCCACGUCUGUUACAUUUCAUUGUAAAGAGUAAAUAAGUUUUACUUUUAUAUGUCAUUUUUUGACAUUUCACAACUGACCGGUGUUUUUCAGGAAAUAUGCAAUGCUGUUUUUGUCAUUAAUAAACCCAAUGCAUAUGUUUUUAAAGAUUGCAGUUUUUUAUGCAAUAAAAUGUAAUGCAUAAAUCUA
This is an RNA transcript of Labrus mixtus (cuckoo wrasse), 5020 nucleotides long. It is a transcript of the gene named forkhead box protein O1-A-like, with no coding region annotated. The record is from RefSeq and is a predicted model, not a curated record. Lineage: Eukaryota; Metazoa; Chordata; Actinopteri; Labriformes; Labridae. The transcript has 4 exons.